This 23-nucleotide non-coding RNA is filed under the name Arabidopsis thaliana (thale cress). The record is from RNAcentral. Lineage: Eukaryota; Viridiplantae; Streptophyta; Magnoliopsida; Brassicales; Brassicaceae.
GGCCCGACUCUUGGGAGGUGCUG